UACAGAGGGGGCAAGCGUUGUUCGGAAUUACUGGGCGUAAAGGGCGCGUAGGCGGCCUGUUAAGUCGAACGUGAAAUCCCCGGGCUCAACCCGGGAACUGCGUCCGAUACUGGCAGGCUUGAAUCCGGGAGAGGGAUGCGGAAUUCCAGGUGUAGCGGUGAAAUGCGUAGAUAUCUGGAGGAACACCGGUGGCGAAGGCGGCUUCCUGGACCGACACUGACGCUGAGGCGCGAAAGCUAGGGGAGCAAACGGG
RNAcentral lists this ribosomal RNA (253 nucleotides) under uncultured bacterium. RNAcentral's name for it is "partial 16S ribosomal RNA". It matches the Rfam family "Bacterial small subunit ribosomal RNA", at positions 524 to 776 of the family's 1533-position model. The record is from RNAcentral.